RNAcentral lists this ribosomal RNA (390 nucleotides) under uncultured Chrysophyceae. RNAcentral describes it as "partial small subunit ribosomal RNA". It matches the Rfam family "Eukaryotic small subunit ribosomal RNA", at positions 30 to 432 of the family's 1831-position model. The record is from RNAcentral. Lineage: Eukaryota; Chrysophyceae.
GCUUGUCUCAAAGAUUAAGCCAUGCAUGUCUAAGUAUAAACGACUUUAUACUGUGAAACUGCGAAUGGCUCAUUAUAUCAGUUAUAGUUUAUUUAAUAGUCCUUGCUACUUGGAUAACCGUAGUAAUUCUAGAGCUUAUACAUGCAUUAAACCCCGACUUCUGGGUGGGGUGUAUUUAUUAGAUGGAAACCAAUGCGGGGUAACCCGGAAUAUGGUGAUUCAUAAUAACUUUCAGAUCGAUUUAUCGAUGCAUCAUUCAAGUUUCUGCCCUAUCAGCUUUGGAUGGUAGGGUAUUGGCCUACCGUGGCUUUAACGGGUAACGAAGAAUUAGGGUUCGAUUCCGGAGAGGGAGCCUGAGAAAUGGCUACCACAUCCAAGGAAGGCAGCAGG